Molecule: long non-coding RNA, 125 nt
Organism: Saccostrea cuccullata (small rock oyster)
Lineage: Eukaryota; Metazoa; Mollusca; Bivalvia; Ostreida; Ostreidae
Exons: 3
Source: RefSeq, a predicted model, not a curated record
CGCGAGAAUUCAGCGAGACCAACAUGCUACAGGUGAAAAUCGAGAGAGAAAUUCAACAUGAAAAAAGAGGUACAGCUGUAGAGUACAUUUUGAACAGCCAUCUCCAGGAUAUACUCUGAAGACUG